AAACUGAAGAGUUUGAUCAUGGCUCAGAUUGAACGCUGGCGGCAGGCCUAACACAUGCAAGUCGAGCGGCAGCACGGGAAGCUUGCUUCCUGGUGGCGAGCGGCGGACGGGUGAGUAAUGCAUAGGAAUCUGCCCGAUAGUGGGGGAUAACCUGGGGAAACCCAGGCUAAUACCGCAUACGUCCUACGGGAGAAAGCAGGGGCUCUUCGGACCUUGCGCUAUCGGAUGAGCCUAUGUCGGAUUAGCUAGUUGGUGAGGUAAUGGCUCACCAAGGCGACGAUCCGUAGCUGGUCUGAGAGGAUGAUCAGCCACAUCGGGACUGAGACACGGCCCGAACUCCUACGGGAGGCAGCAGUGGGGAAUAUUGGACAAUGGGCGCAAGCCUGAUCCAGCCAUGCCGCGUGUGUGAAGAAGGCCUUCGGGUUGUAAAGCACUUUCAGUGAGGAAGAACGCCUUGUGCCUAAUACGUGCAAGGGAAGACAUCACUCACAGAAGAAGCACCGGCUAACUCCGUGCCAGCAGCCGCGGUAAUACGGAGGGUGCGAGCGUUAAUCGGAAUUACUGGGCGUAAAGCGCGCGUAGGUGGCUUGAUAAGCCGGUUGUGAAAGCCCCGGGCUCAACCUGGGAACGGCAUCCGGAACUGUCAGGCUAGAGUGCAGGAGAGGAAGGUAGAAUUCCCGGUGUAGCGGUGAAAUGCGUAGAGAUCGGGAGGAAUACCAGUGGCGAAGGCGGCCUUCUGGACUGACACUGACACUGAGGUGCGAAAGCGUGGGUAGCAAACAGGAUUAGAUACCCUGGUAGUCCACGCCGUAAACGAUGUCGACUAGCCGUUGGGAGCCUCGAGUUCUUAGUGGCGCAGUUAACGCGAUAAGUCGACCGCCUGGGGAGUACGGCCGCAAGGUUAAAACUCAAAUGAAUUGACGGGGGCCCGCACAAGCGGUGGAGCAUGUGGUUUAAUUCGAUGCAACGCGAAGAACCUUACCUACCCUUGACAUCGUGCGAACUUUCCAGAGAUGGAUUGGUGCCUUCGGGAACGCACAGACAGGUGCUGCAUGGCUGUCGUCAGCUCGUGUUGUGAAAUGUUGGGUUAAGUCCCGUAACGAGCGCAACCCCUGUCCCUAUUUGCCAGCGAUUCGGUCGGGAACUCUAGGGAGACUGCCGGUGACAAACCGGAGGAAGGUGGGGACGACGUCAAGUCAUCAUGGCCCUUACGGGUAGGGCUACACACGUGCUACAAUGGCAGGUACAAAGGGUUGCAAGACGGCGACGUGGAGCUAAUCCCAUAAAGCCUGCCUCAGUCCGGAUCGGAGUCUGCAACUCGACUCCGUGAAGUCGGAAUCGCUAGUAAUCGUGAAUCAGAAUGUCACGGUGAAUACGUUCCCGGGCCUUGUACACACCGCCCGUCACACCAUGGGAGUGGACUGCACCAGAAGUGGUUAGCUUAACCUUCGGGGGAGCGAUCACCACGGUGUGGUUCAUGACUGGGGUGAAGUCGUAACAAGGUAGCCGUAGGGGAACCUGCGGCUGGAUCACCUCCUUA
RNAcentral lists this ribosomal RNA (1540 nucleotides) under Franzmannia qiaohouensis. Its description in RNAcentral is "bacterial SSU rRNA". It matches the Rfam family "Bacterial small subunit ribosomal RNA". Lineage: Bacteria; Pseudomonadati; Pseudomonadota; Gammaproteobacteria; Oceanospirillales; Halomonadaceae. The record is from RNAcentral.